Molecule: long non-coding RNA, 311 nt
Filed under: Populus trichocarpa (black cottonwood)
Lineage: Eukaryota; Viridiplantae; Streptophyta; Magnoliopsida; Malpighiales; Salicaceae
Description: long non-coding RNA (PTRI_LNC000883)
Source: RNAcentral
UCCAUCUUAGAAGCAUCUCCGCCAGCAUCACAAUCUUCAUCAUCACUGAAGCGAGAGCAAGGCACUCUCCUUGCAUCCUUUUCAUCUCCCAUGUUACCUCUUUCGAUUCUUUACCACUUAAGGUAGAUUAGAGUUUAGCCUUUUUCUGAAAUGGGAAUUCAAGGUUUUCUUGUAGAGGAGUGGGUUCAAGGUAAGCAAGGAUGAGAUCUAGGCUCUGCGACAUUAAUGGUGGAUUGGAGUGUUCUUACAUGCCAUGGGAAUGAAGGAUGGUACCAAAGAAAAAGGGUGAAGGAGGGCAAAAGAGAAGAUAU